Molecule: ribosomal RNA, 252 nt
Filed under: Francisella tularensis subsp. holarctica
Lineage: Bacteria; Pseudomonadati; Pseudomonadota; Gammaproteobacteria; Thiotrichales; Francisellaceae
Description: partial 23S ribosomal RNA
Rfam family: Bacterial large subunit ribosomal RNA
Source: RNAcentral
CCUCCUAAAGAGUAACGGAGGAGUACGAAGGUGCACUCUGUACGGUCGGAAAUCGUGCCAAGAGUAUAAAGGCAAAAGUGCGCUUGACUGCGAGAGUGACUGCUCGAGCAGGUACGAAAGUAGGUCUUAGUGAUCCGGUGGUCCCGAAUGGAAGGGUCAUCGCUCAACGGAUAAAAGUUACUCCGGGGAUAACAGGCUAAUUCCUCCCAAGAGUUCAUAUCGACGGAGGAGUUUGGCACCUCGAUGUCGGCU